Molecule: unclassified non-coding RNA, 251 nt
Filed under: Hevea brasiliensis (rubber tree)
Lineage: Eukaryota; Viridiplantae; Streptophyta; Magnoliopsida; Malpighiales; Euphorbiaceae
Source: RNAcentral
AGAUGCAACUCUUCUUAAUAGUUAUAUAUAUAAAAGUGAUGCAACUAUUGGUCAAAAGGUGUCAUGACUUUAUAAAUAGCCAAGCUUUUAUCUUCAUUAGAGGUAGAAGAAAUAGAAGAAAAAGAAGAAAAUCACAUAUAGAAGUGUGAAGAGUGUGAAGUGUGUGCAUUGAGUGGUAGUGAAUUGGCUUAGCAUCUUUAAAAGAUUUUCACUUGAUUCAUUUGUAAAGCAUUGAUUAUUCUGCGAAUAAG